Molecule: non-coding RNA, 272 nt
Organism: Coffea arabica (coffee)
Lineage: Eukaryota; Viridiplantae; Streptophyta; Magnoliopsida; Gentianales; Rubiaceae
Source: RefSeq, a predicted model, not a curated record
AGGACCAAACAGGGUGCGUGAGAGCCGAGAGGAAGGAAGAAAAUUCCAGAUUUCUGUGCGUAAGUUUAGAGUGUAUCUAAGGUUCUGGAAACUGAAAGCCUUGAACUUACUUAUGUUUCUUUUCUUUUGGAUGUAAUGGAUAUUAUGGCUAUUGUGUGGGUUGUAUUAUGCUUCAACAUGAAUUAUGUACUUUUGUUUUAGAUUGCCACUUGAUGCUGGAAAAGUGUAAAACCUAAUUUCGAUAUCUGGUUCGUAUGAAUUUUAUUUGUAUA